AGAAAGGGGUUGUUAUUUUAUGAACAAAGAAAGGGUCAGAUAAUAAGGUAGAGGAGGUCGAGAUACGAAAGAGAGCUGUAACUGAAACUUCGCAAUCAUGGGUCUUAUGCACAAUCGUGGUUGGAGGAUAGCAUUUGCAAAUUUGCCAAGAAAGGGUUGACUCCAUCACAGAUUGGUGUUAUCGUUAUGGACUCUCAUGGUAUUGCUCAGGUUAGGAGCGUUACUGGGAGCAAUAUAGUACGUAUUCUAAAGACUGGCAUUGCCCCAGAAAUUCCGGAGAAUCAAUACCACCUGAUUAAGAAGGCGGUUGCUAUCCGAAGCAUCUUGAGAUAAAUAGGAAGGACAAAGAUUCGAAGUUCAGAUUGAUACUAGUAGAGAUCAGAAUUCACGGACUUGCCCGCUACUACAAGCGGACAAAGAAGCUUCCACCAGUUUGGAAAUAGUGAAUGCAGCACAACCUUGCAUAUCUAGAAUUCUUUAGGUUCCUUUAUUUUAUGAGAAAUAGUGAGUGUUCUAACUAGUUUUGGUUGUUAUGAUGCUGGAAGUAUCAAUGAGAACCAUGUGAUUGACUUACAGCAACCAUUGAUCUAAAACAGGCCAAGUGUACCUUUAAAUAAGAUGGGCCUUGUUGUUGGGUUGUUAACCCAGUUGAUUAGGAAAGUUGUGCGUCUGUAGCUGUAUUCUGUUUUCAAUUUUUGUAUUUUACUUAUGAGGUUGAUGAAGAUUUGGUCUCAUUGAGGAAGAAAGUUGUGUUUGGAAUUUAUCGGAUCA
This is a long non-coding RNA of Macadamia integrifolia, 771 nucleotides long. RefSeq lists it as uncharacterized. NCBI's taxonomy places the organism in Eukaryota, Viridiplantae, Streptophyta, Magnoliopsida, Proteales, Proteaceae. The transcript has 4 exons. The record is from RefSeq and is a predicted model, not a curated record.